This 301-nucleotide ribosomal RNA is filed under the name uncultured bacterium. RNAcentral's name for it is "partial 16S ribosomal RNA". It matches the Rfam family "Bacterial small subunit ribosomal RNA", at positions 509 to 807 of the family's 1533-position model. The record is from RNAcentral.
CAGCAGCCACGGUAAAACGUAGGGUGCAAGCGUUAAUCGGAAUUACUGGGCGUAAAGCGUGCGCAGGCGGUUCGGAAAGAAAGAUGUGAAAUCCCAGGGCUCAACCUUGGAACUGCAUUUUUAACUACCGGACUAGAGUAUGUCAGAGGGAGGUGGAAUUCCACGUGUAGCAGUGAAAUGCGUAGAUAUGUGGAGGAACACCGAUGGCGAAGGCAGCCUCCUGGGAUAAUACUGACGCUCAUGCACGAAAGCGUGGGGAGCAAACAGGAUUAGAUACCCGCGUAGUCCCUGUCUCUUAUAC